RNAcentral lists this transfer RNA (65 nucleotides) under Lasioglossum xanthopus. RNAcentral's name for it is "tRNA-Gly". Lineage: Eukaryota; Metazoa; Arthropoda; Insecta; Hymenoptera; Halictidae. The record is from RNAcentral.
AUAUAUAUAGUAUAAAAUAUUAUAUUUAAUUUCCAAUUAAAAGAUUUAAAAAUAAAAUAUAUAUA